AGUGGGGAAUUUUGGACAAUGGGCGCAAGCCUGAUCCAGCCAUGCCGCGUGCAGGAUGAAGGCCUUCGGGUUGUAAACUGCUUUUGUACGGAACGAAAAAGCUCUCUCUAAUACAGGGGGUGAAUGACGGUACCGUAAGAAUAAGCACCGGCUAACUACGUGCCAGCAGCCGCGGUAAUACGUAGGGUGCAAGCGUUAAUCGGAAUUACUGGGCGUAAAGCGUGCGCAGGCGGUUAUGUAAGACAGAGGUGAAAUCCCCGGGCUCAACCUGGGAACUGCAUUUGUGACUGCAUCGCUGGAGUGCGGCAGAGGGGGAUGGAAUUCCGCGUGUAGCAGUGAAAUGCGUAGAUAUGCGGAGGAACACCGAUGGCGAAGGCAAUCCCCUGGGCCUGCACUGACGCUCAUGCACGAAAGCGUGGGGAGCAAA
This 427-nucleotide ribosomal RNA is filed under the name uncultured Comamonadaceae bacterium. RNAcentral describes it as "bacterial SSU rRNA". It matches the Rfam family "Bacterial small subunit ribosomal RNA", at positions 353 to 772 of the family's 1533-position model. Lineage: Bacteria; Pseudomonadati; Pseudomonadota; Betaproteobacteria; Burkholderiales; Comamonadaceae. The record is from RNAcentral.